RNAcentral lists this ribosomal RNA (419 nucleotides) under uncultured eukaryote. Its description in RNAcentral is "bacterial SSU rRNA". It matches the Rfam family "Eukaryotic small subunit ribosomal RNA", at positions 1227 to 1658 of the family's 1831-position model. The record is from RNAcentral.
GACACUGUAAGGAUUGACGGACUGAAGGCUCUUUCUCGAUUCCGUGGAAAGUGGUGCAUGGCCGUUUUGGUUGGUGGAUCGAUCCGUCUGGUUAAUUCCGUUAACGAACGAGACCUCGGCACUCCGAAUAGCGCGGCGGACGUCGCGGCCUCCGGGCCGUCUUCCGCACGAGCUUCUUAGAGGGACCGUCCCCCGCCGGGGAAGGAGGUGCGAGGCAACGACAGGUCUGUGAUGCCCUUAGAUGUUCUGGGCCGCACGCGCAUUACACUGACGCGUCCAACGGGUGACUCCCGACCCGAAGGGGCCGGGGAAUCCGCAAGGCGCGUCGUGAUGGGGAUUGAACGUUGCAAUUGUUGUUCACGAACGAGGAAUUCCUAGUAGGCGCGGGUCAUCAACCCGCGCCGAUUACGUCCCUGCCC